RNAcentral lists this ribosomal RNA (253 nucleotides) under uncultured bacterium. RNAcentral describes it as "partial 16S ribosomal RNA". It matches the Rfam family "Bacterial small subunit ribosomal RNA", at positions 524 to 776 of the family's 1533-position model. The record is from RNAcentral.
UACGUAGGGGGCGAGCGUUGUUCGGAAUUAUUGGGCGUAAAGCGCGUGUAGGCGGUUCGGUAAGGCGGAUGUGAAAUCCCGGGGCUCAACCCCGGGCCGGCAUCCGCGACUGCCGGGCUGUAGUGUGGGAGGGGAGAGCGGAAUUCCUGGUGUAGCGGUGAAAUGCGUAGAUAUCAGGAGGAACACCGGUGGCGAAGGCGGCUCUCUGGACCAUAACUGACGCUGAGACGCGAAAGUCAGGGGAGCAAACAGG